UACGUAGGGGGCAAGCGUUGUCCGGAUUUAUUGGGCGUAAAGAGCGUGUAGGCGGCCAGGUAGGUCCGUUGUGAAAACUGGAGGCUCAACCUCCAGCUGUCGAUGGAAACCAUCUGGCUAGAGUCCGGAAGAGGAGAGUGGAAUUCCUGGUGUAGCGGUGAAAUGCGCAGAUAUCAGGAAGAACACCCGUGGCGAAGGCGGCUCUCUGGGACGUGACUGACGCUGAGACGCGAAAGCGUGGGGAGCGAACAGG
This 253-nucleotide ribosomal RNA is filed under the name uncultured bacterium. RNAcentral's name for it is "partial 16S ribosomal RNA". It matches the Rfam family "Bacterial small subunit ribosomal RNA", at positions 524 to 776 of the family's 1533-position model. The record is from RNAcentral.